AGCAACAAAUGCCCUGCUUCCAGGAAAAGCCUCUAAGCAUCAGGUAACAUCAAAUCGUACCCCAAACCGACACAGGUGGUCAGGUAGAGAAUACCAAGGCGCUUGAGAGAACUCGGGUGAAGGAACUAGGCAAAAUGGUGCCGUAACUUCGGGAGAAGGCACGCUGACACGUAGGUGAAGUGAUUUACUCAUGGAGCUGAAGUCAGUCGAAGAUACCAGCUGGCUGCAACUGUUUAUUAAAAACACAGCACUGUGCAAACACGAAAGUGGACGUAUACGGUGUGACGCCUGCCCGGUGCCGGAAGGUUAAUUGAUGGGGUCAGCGCAAGCGAAGCUCCUGAUCGAAGCCCCGGUAAACGGCGGCCGUAACUAUAACGGUCCUAAGGUAGCGAAAUUCCUUGUCGGGUAAGUUCCGACCUGCACGAAUGGCGUAAUGAUGGCCAGGCUGUCUCCACCCGAGACUCAGUGAAAUUGAACUCGCUGUGAAGAUGCAGUGUACCCGCGGCAAGACGGAAAGACCCCGUGAACCUUUACUAUAGCUUGACACUGAACAUUGAGCCUUGAUGUGUAGGAUAGGUGGGAGGCUUUGAAGCGUGGACGCCAGUCUGCGUGGAGCCGACCUUGAAAUACCACCCUUUAAUGUUUGAUGUUCUAACGUGGACCCGUGAUCCGGGUUGCGGACAGUGUCUGGUGGGUAGUUUGACUGGGGCGGUCUCCUCCUAAAGAGUAACGGAGGAGCACGAAGGUUGGCUAAUCCUGGUCGGACAUCAGGAGGUUAGUGCAAUGGCAUAAGCCAGCUUGACUGCGAGCGUGACGGCGCGAGCAGGUGCGAAAGCAGGUCAUAGUGAUCCGGUGGUUCUGAAUGGAAGGGCCAUCGCUCAACGGAUAAAAGGUACUCCGGGGAUAACAGGCUGAUACCGCCCAAGAGUUCAUAUCGACGGCGGUGUUUGGCACCUCGAUGUCGGCUCAUCACAUCCUGGGGCUGAAGUAGGUCCCAAGGGUAUGGCUGUUCGCCAUUUAAAGUGGUACGCGAGCUGGGUUUAGAACGUCGUGAGACAGUUCGGUCCCUAUCUGCCGUGGGCGCUGGAGAACUGAGGGGGGCUGCUCCUAGUACGAGAGGACCGGAGUGGACGCAUCACUGGUGUUCGGGUUGUCAUGCCAAUGGCACUGCCCGGUAGCUAAAUGCGGAAGAGAUAAGUGCUGAAAGCAUCUAAGCACGAAACUUGCCCCGAGAUGAGUUCUCCCUGAGACUUAGAGUCUCCUGAAGGAACGUUGAAGACGACGACGUUGAUAGGCCGGGUGUGUAAGCGCAGCGAUGCGUUGAGCUAACCGGUACUAAUGAACCGUGAGGCUUAACCUUACAACGCCGAAG
This 1372-nucleotide ribosomal RNA is filed under the name Salmonella enterica. RNAcentral describes it as "partial 23S ribosomal RNA". It matches the Rfam family "Bacterial large subunit ribosomal RNA", at positions 1589 to 2925 of the family's 2925-position model. Lineage: Bacteria; Pseudomonadati; Pseudomonadota; Gammaproteobacteria; Enterobacterales; Enterobacteriaceae. The record is from RNAcentral. RNAcentral also lists the same sequence under 2 other names.